ACUUCCGGCAGCGCCGCGGCCGGGAGGGACCGAGCGGGGAGCAAGGCCUGCGGGGAGGCGCAGGAUGGACGCGUUGGCUGUCAUGAUGUAGGACCUCCUGACCUAGAACCAUGCCCGGCGCAGGGAGAACAACGAGCUUACGGACCGGGUGCGGGGGCUGCUGUGCGAGAAAGCCUACCUGCUGGCCCGGGAGCGUUCGCCGGCCCACCUGGUGGCUUUCCCUGGACGUUUAACGGCGACUCCGCCCGGCCUCCCGACUUUUUGAUGCAGGCGUUCUCUUACAUGACUUUCUUCGAGGCUAGAUUCUCGAAAGACAUCCUGAAGGUGGCUUUCUUAAUUAGCUGCCUCACCGGCUGGCGGAGCAGUUCGUAGUCGCCUACAUCGAGAGGGAGAGCCCCGUCCUGGCUCAGUACUGGGGCUUCGUGGACGCGCUGUAGCGGGUCUUCGCCGUCGUGGGUAGGAAACAGUCGGGCCGGAUCCCCGGUGUCUGGGGAGCGGCUGCCGGCCGGGCCCGCGCGAGCCGCUUCACUCCUACAAGCCCGGCUCACUAGUUCCAAGCUGCUGGACUUUGACCCUCGCUGGGAAGCUUGAUCGCCGCCUGUUCUCGCCAAUCUCUAUGCCUUUGCACUGCCCAGCAACCCGGUCACUGCCCAGGACCUGUUAAAAGUUGAAUGGACCUCCCAGAAUCACGCCGCUGCCACCGCCGUUUCUAGAGACGGCUUUUGGCCACCUUUGAGAAUCAGGGUCAAACUUGGAAGGGCCUGCAUUUGUCACACUUCCUCGGACACUAAUUUGGAUAGUUCAGGCCCAGAGACGGCUUCCCGGAUCCUUUGCACAUGGCCUGCUAUCAACAAUCCUCUACAAUGAUUCUCAGCAUCACCUAGGGAGCUUAUGUAAAAUCUCAAAUUCCUGGGCCCUAUCCCCAGAGUUUCUUAUCAAUUUCCUUGAUGGAGAACUAUCAAAGCAGUCAAAGCUAUCAAAAUAAAAAAGAAUUCUGAUUGGGUGCAGUGGCUCACACCUGUCAUUCCAGCACUUUGAGAGGCCAAGGUGGGCAGAUCACAUGAGGCCAGGAGUUCAAGACCAGCCUGGCCAACAUGGCAGAAACCCCAUCUCUACUAAAAAUACCAAAAUUAGCCGGGCAUGGUGGAACACACCUGCAAUCCCAGCUACUCGGGAGGCUGAGGCAAGAGAAUCGCUUGAACCUGGGAGGCAGAAGUUGCAGUGAAACAAGUUGGUGCCAAUGCAUUCCAGCCUGGAUGAUGGAGCGAGACUCUGUCUCAAGAAAAAAAAAACAAAAACAAAAACAGAACUCUGCCUCAUAGCGUCUUUUAAGUUAUACACUGGACCUAUCCUUUCCUCACUGACAGACAUUUUAAAAAUUUUUUGGUAAGGCCUAGUUCAUAUAAAAUGUAAUCCAAGCCAAAAGUUAACAAGAAUAAGGGGAGGAAAGGGGACUCCAAUAGCAGAGAAAGGUAUUUACCUGGGAUAUACACUGCAAGAAAAUCAAAGCUAUAAGAAACGUCCAUGAAUAGUAGCCAUAAGGCAUCAGAGUGAUAAAAUUCCUGUCCCUAGGAGGGAAUAUUGGAGUUUGCCAGAGAAACAGAAUGAGAGAGACAGAGAGGUUUAUUGUAGGAAUUGGCUCAUAUGAUUACGGAGGCUGAGAAGACCCACGAUCUGCCAUCUGCAAGCUGGAGAAUCAGGAAAGCUGGAGGUGUAAUUCAGUCAAGUCCAAUGGCCAGAGAAGCAAGUGUACUGAUAUCCAAGAGCAGGAGAAAAUAGAUGUCCCAGAACAAGCAGAGAGGCUGAUUUUGUCCUUCCUCUGCCUUUUUGUUUCAUAUGGGGCACUGAAUGGACUGAUGCCCAUCCACAUUAGUGAGGGUGGAUCUUCUUUACUCAGUCUACCAGUAGAAAUGUCAAUGACUUCCAGAAACACCCUCACCAACACACGUGGAAAUAAUGUUUUACCAGGUAUCUGGGCAUCCCUUGGUUCACUCAAGUUGACACAAAAUUAACCAUCACAGAAGGAGACUGGCCUUACUCUGAAAUUAGGAAACUAAAGAAGUGACCAGAAUGGAGACUAGGUAGAGACAACUAGUUCUCUACCAAACAUGUACAGUUAUUCGUUGGUAUCUGAAGGGGAUUGGUUCCAGGAACUCUCAGGGAUACCAAAAUCUGCAGGUGCUCAAGUCAUUUAUAUAAAAUAUUACAGUAUUUGCAUAUAACCUUUGCACAUCUUCCAUAUACUUUAAAUCAUCUCUACAUUACUUAUAAUAAUGAAUGUGUAAAUGCUAUGAAAAUAGUUACUACACUAUUGUUUAUUUGUAUUUUUAUUGAAUUGUUUUGGGGUGGGGGGCAGCUGUAUCUUUCUUAGUAAUAGAACCCCUGGUUUUAGCUGGGCACAUGACUGCCCUCAAUAAAGAUUAAAGUACCCCAGCCUUCCUUGAGAUUGUGGCCAUGUGACUGAACUUUAGACAGUGAGAUAUAAGCAGAUAUCUUCUGUGGCAGUGUUAGGAAAC
This 2516-nucleotide long non-coding RNA is filed under the name Homo sapiens (human). Its description in RNAcentral is "HSALNT0392653". Lineage: Eukaryota; Metazoa; Chordata; Mammalia; Primates; Hominidae. The record is from RNAcentral.